AUUGAACGCUGGCGGCAUGCCUUACACAUGCAAGUCGAACGGCAGCACGGGUGCUUGCACCUGGUGGCGAGUGGCGAACGGGUGAGUAAUACAUCGGAACAUGUCCUGUAGUGGGGGAUAGCCCGGCGAAAGCCGGAUUAAUACCGCAUACGAUCUACGGAUGAAAGCGGGGGACCUUCGGGCCUCGCGCUAUAGGGUUGGCCGAUGGCUGAUUAGCUCGUUGGUGGGGUAAGGCCUACCAAGGCGACGAUCAGUAGCUGGUCUGAGAGGACGACCAGCCACACUGGGACUGAGACACGGCCCAGACUCCUACGGGAGGCAGCAGUGGGGAAUUUUGGACAAUGGGCGAAAGCCUGAUCCAGCAAUGCCGCGUGUGUGAAGAAGGCCUUCGGGUUGUAAAGCACUUUUGUCCGGAAAGAAAUCCUUGGCCCUAAUACGGUCGGGGGAUGACGGUACCGGAAGAAUAAGCACCGGCUAACUACGUG
Molecule: ribosomal RNA, 485 nt
Filed under: uncultured bacterium
Lineage: Bacteria
Description: partial 16S ribosomal RNA
Rfam family: Bacterial small subunit ribosomal RNA
Source: RNAcentral